Molecule: transfer RNA, 81 nt
Filed under: Paenibacillus sp. NAIST15-1
Lineage: Bacteria; Bacillati; Bacillota; Bacilli; Caryophanales; Paenibacillaceae
Also listed under: 1 other name
Description: tRNA-Leu
Rfam family: tRNA
About the family: Transfer RNA (tRNA) molecules are approximately 80 nucleotides in length.
Source: RNAcentral
GCGCGUAUGGCGGAAUUGGCAGACGCACUAGACUUAGGAUCUAGCGCCUUUGGCGUGGGGGUUCAAGUCCCUCUACGCGCA